AUGCAUUUUCUUCAAAUCCCUAUCAAAACAUACUAAUAAGAGAAUCCUGACUACGUAGCAAAUUACAUCGUUGAAUUUACAAUAUUACAUUAAAACGUAAAUUAAAUAUUAUGAAUACUUUUUAAGCACGAGAAAAGAUGGAAUCCAUAAAGAUUCCGAGAAGUAAUCUUCUUAUAUACGAAAGAACGUUCCCUCAUUAGAGCAAAAAUUCCACUUUGAUCCACGAUUCGCGUGCACCGUCGGAUGUCUCUUCGACGAACUUUUCCGAACGCAAUCGCUUAUAUCCUCUUACGAAGCUGCUUAGCUUUGGUUCCUUUGAAGGGAUGUUUUCUCUAGCCCCAUACCACCAUUCGAACGUAGCUUCGUAAAACUGUACUAUAUGAGUCUCGAGCAGAUUCGUCGUCAUGGCCAUUAUAACUUUUGUCUUCAUUCUUUCCCUUUCCGUUUAAUAUCGAUCAGCUGACAAACACGGUAUUGAACAAGGUAUCAGAGAAAAGUAGAGAAAAGGACGAUGUUUCAAAAGGAAAUACCUUGCUGGUUAUUCCAGCACGAUAAUAUAUGGUAUUUCCUAGAAGCAUUGCAGAAGUUUUGGAAGACGUUGAUAAUCUUUGAUAACACAAUAUCACCGCUGGAUAACGUGUAAUUAAAUGUAUGCUCUCUAUGCAUGAGAAAUAUGGAUAUGUAUUGUUUUUUCACUUUUCAAAAUUCGCGCUAUAAUAUAAACCAUUACGUCCCUGUCGAUGUAUUGUAACAAAAAACUUAAAAUUUCAAAAGAAGAUCAGAUACUUCUCAUGUUGAUCACUUCGCCGAAUCUACUAUUUUUAUUAUGAAAAAAAGAAAACGGAAAAAAAAUUUUGUUGCAUAAAUAACAUUUUUGGCUGACGUUUGACAGAUGGAAAUUAAAAAUGUGGGUAAUAACGUUCACAAGAUCUUUUAAUUAUGAGAAAAUAGCAACAAAAAAUUAAUUUCUUUUCAUUUAAUAUUAACUCUUGGUAGGACGCUACCAAUUAAUCGAAGCAAAAGCAUGUCUUACAAUACACAGUUAUGCACUGUCGUUUAUUUCAUAUGGUAGGUAACAGCAAAGGGCAAUAGUAACUCGAAUCAAAAGGGAUUGGUAUUUCUCCCCAAUCAUUUCCUUUUCGGCUCUUUCGAUCGCGGAAUAGGAAGCUUUGAUUGAAUUGUGUAAAGGGCAUUCAAAUGAAUUUCGCGAAAAGAAAAGUAAAUAUAACGAAUGAUUAUCUCUCAAUCCAUAUUCUUUGGCACUGUGUAAUAAAGAAAGAGAGAGGCUUCUUAACUUAAAUAAACAGAGAAUAAAAGGUAAUAUUACGAAACAAAUUUUCAAGGAAUCUUUUUUACUCGAAAUUAAUACUAACUGUUAAAUAUUUUUAUCGACAUAAAUAGAAAAAAUAUUGAAAGCCGAUUAUCAAAAUUCUGUAUUUAAUUUCUAAUUGUAUAUUGUAAAGAAACAAUGGGUGAAAAAACAAGAAAGAUCAGAAACAAAAAAAGGUAAAUAAUUAGUCCUGUCAAUAUAGAACCAUUCGAAAAUUUACUUUCUCACGACCCAUGACAUUUUCGCUCUUUCUAUCGUGUAAUACGUGGUAUUGAUUGAUCGGCUUAUAAUGUAAUAAUCCCUUCCACCGUGCCACGCCUCGGAACUUUGCUGGGUCUUUGGACGUAACGAUUUGGGGAAGUCUCAUCUGCAAAUGUCAUCCUUUCAAUGAUUUUUAAUUUUUAACGAGUAAUGUGCAAGUAAGUGCUAAAUAAUCGCGUCUACACUCCAUACGUCCCAAAGAAAACUUACAAGCAAUCCAAACGAGAUACAGAAGAUGAAACGCAGGCGAAAGCAGUUCCAACAGCCUUGAAGUGUUGCAAAGAAGCAGAAUUGAUUGUUAUCUGAAUUGUAAUUACUUUUAGAGAAGAUACGAGAAUUUCAAAUGUGCUCUACUUCAUGAUUAAACAUUCGACAUCCGAAGUGAAACACAUUCAUAUUGCACUUCCUGUUCAUUUUUAAAUCAGAUGAUAGGUCCUACAUAGAUAAUAUAAAUGUCCGACGACCAACCAGAUAACGAAACGAAAACAUUUUUCUCUUUUAUCUUAUAUUUAAAUGGUCAAUCAAUCAAUGCUGUAUUUAUCGAAUGUUACUGAAUUUUCACAAAGAUUUUAUGAUGGCGACAGAAGUAUUGCUACUGAUGAGAGGGACAUUAGGUCUCUUAACUGUAGCUAUCCUUAAGGUAUUGCAUUAGUUUAUAUAAAUCAAGAAUCCAUAUAUCUUUCAACUAAUCUAAUGAAGAAUAUUAGAUAUGGGAAGCGAGAUGCUUGAUGAAGAAGAACAGAUUGUAAAAGCGGCGGAAGAAGCUAAUGCUGCUCACGAAUUUAUUACAAUAAUUUAUUACAAAUGAUGUGAAACCCAAGUUGGAGAAAAAGAAAGCUAAUUAUAUGGUGCCUGAAAACAAUGUUGCUAUUGCUAGAGCAUUAUUAUAGCAACAAUCGACUUUAAUAUUAAAUUUUAAUAAACGAGUGCAUCGUAAAAGCAAAAGAUGAGUUCAAGAAGCAGUUGGAAAUCAUAACCAAAGAAGGAACAUCGUUAACUAUUGCACUUGUGUACAUGUUGUGAUUGGGACUACCUAGGAGAAGGGAAAAGAAGAAAAAAUAUUUGUGUUUUUCCAACAUAGUUUGGAAAGACCAAUAUGGUGCUAUUUUAUAAAGCUUGAAACGGCGGUACGAGGAAAUGGGAGGGAUUUAGCUUAUUCAAAAGAACCAAACGUGAACGGCUUUAGUUGGAGGGUAUAUGCGAUUGUGCUCAGAAAGUUUUGUAGAAGGGGCGUACGAAGUUCGACGCGGGGCAAGGGUCAAAGGGGAAUUGACAUGAAACUGAGGUGAUACAUCACUUAAAACAAAUUAACAUGGAGGGUUGAUGAAAAGAUUCACCAUUUGUGGAAGUAAUAAUGUUAGCAGGGGAAUACUUUUAAAUUAUACGGGAAAUGGAAAAUCCACGUUCACGUCACCGUUAUUCCAUCAAUUUAAAUUAGGUAACCGUUCGAUAUAAUUAGAAAAGAAGAAAUGUUGAAUUCUAUAUUUCGAAUUGUUUGUCAUAAUAUUCACAUGUACUUAAAAAAUAUUCGUAAUAUUUAAUUAGCGAUUUUCAUAAAUAUUGAAAUUUGGAGGACAUAGUUUGGUGCGUAGCGCGAAUCACCUGUUAUUAAUGUUUUCCCGUACUUAUCGUCAAGUACUUUCGAUUUAAACUUUUCGUUAUUAUCCCUCUCUUUCGGCGUGUGCUCUCGUGCGCGUAUAUCUGCGCCAGUCGAGUGGCCGGAAUUGAGUGCCCUUGUGUACUGUGUUGGUGUAUGCGAAUAACUCCUGUCUUAUCUUGAUAAUAAGGAAAAUAUGUUUUCAUUUAAUUUCCUAUCAUCAGACCAAGCAGAUAAUUGGAGAUUAGCUCUAUAGUUCAAUUGCCUAUUAAGAUUCAUCGUUUGAAAACCCGGUUACUUAUUUUGCAAAGCUAUGGACUAUUUUCUUAGGAACAAAUUGCUUUGGAACAUAAUAUACGAAAUAUUAGAUGACUGGAGGUAUAAUGGGAUUAUUGUUUUACAUUCUCCAAUAGGGAGUAAAUUUCUAGGAAAAUAUAACUGUUUAUAUAGAAGAAUCAAAUCAGUCGUGGUAGAUGGAUCUGCAAAAAACUUAACCAGGUAAUUAUAUGAUACAGCUAUAUAGAUAAUUGAAUUAUACCGCUAAUCGUAUUAUCGAAUUGUUUGCUUGGUUUUAUGAGAGGAAAACUAAUGAAAAAAUACCUUCUUGUUUUGAAAACAUGAGAGAUGUACGCAGACACGCUCACUCAUUCCCACCCACUUGAUCUCGCGUACGUAAGCACGCAUAUAAGCGCGCACGUGCGAGAGAGGUAAUAAUAAAUCGUUUAAUAUGAUGGUGCUGGAUGGUAAGUACGAGAGAAGGUGGUGCGUACGUGCAGAUCGUACGUUAAAUCCCAAUCAAUACCCGUUGACGGGAAUUUGUAGACAUGAGGGAUCAUAUAUUUUUGCAAAAAAAUCAAAAUUUUGACCAUUAUAACUUUCUACGAUCCCUAUGAUCUAUUUAUGACCUAUAUUAUGAUCUCUACAAACAAUUCUCUUUCCACAUCAUCAUCCCUCGCAUUAUGUAUGAGAUAUCUCCGUUUUUUUGUUGGUUGUCAUCACUAUCACUCUUAUCGUUUUCUUCCCGAAUAAUAUUUAUUUUUUCUAACGUAUUUGUAUAAAUGUCUAUCUGGAUUUCCUCUUCCGUAUUACUUAUGACACGAAACUUGCUAGUGUUUCGUUAUUUUGCCAUUCUCUUAAUGAAAAAGAACGAAAUAAUUGAGAGCGUUGGUAGUCUCAAAUUGUAUAUUACGAAAAAACGAAACGAUAUAUAAGAAAAGAAUAUUACUCUUCUGAUUUUCUUAUUAGUCCAGGGAACUAUAUUUUACUAGAAGUUUCUGUUUCACUUGAAAUGAGUUCAGCUUCGAAAAUAUCUCCUCAGUUUUAUGAUUACUUGUUUACUCCAUCAAAUAUCAAUGCAUCGUACGAAGCGUACUCGCGUACAACUGCUGACAAGUCCUUGUCACUUUAUUUAAGCGGUUUAAAGAAGCCCUUAGACGUUUGUGGAUGUACUUCUUUUCCGUAAAACCGAUUGAUACUCUUUUCAUAUAACUUGGUAAUUUGACCAUUUCUUGAUUAACUAUCUGAGUGGUUCUCACGGAGGGGAAAUACGGAAAAGAGAAGAAGGUAAUAUUAGGAAACCAUAAAUGUGACGAAAGAUUUUCUCCGAAUACAUUUCUUAUUAUUGUGUAGUAGCGAAAAUACCAUCUUCGAUAAUUUGAGCAAUAUGCAUCUGUUUACAAGAAAAGAAGGUAAUAUUUGGAGAAAAUUUUUUUAAGCAAAAUGAUAGUAGAUAUAAAUUCCGAUGAAAAAAUUUUUUUACGACGGAAGAUUUAACAAUAAGAAUUGCAUAGUCUUUACAUAGUACGAAAAUUGAUAGUGAUAUCAUUAAUAUCUAAUAAUAUUAGAAUCAACAUUUUUUCUGUUUUUAAUUAUAUUGAAUAAUUAUUUAAAUUGACUGAAUGACCUAAACGUGGACUUCAUAUUUCAUGUAUAGUUUAAAUCUAUUUCGAUUUUAAAGUAUUUCACAUAUAUUUUUAAGUAUUUAAUACUACUAUAUCGAGUAACGGUGAAUGUUUUAAUCGUCCCAGCAGCUUUAAUUCUUUUCCAAUAUAAACCUGCCUCCGUUCCAUUUCGAUUCCCCUUUGAAUAAGGUUCCGCUUGCAACAUCGGACGGCCCUUCGACAAAUCUUUCUGAGCACAAUCGAUUGUAUCCUCUAGCUAAAACCCACUUCGAUCCUUUGAGAAGGAGAUAUUCCGUCUCUUCAUAUAACCAUUUGAAUGAAAGAUUCGAAAACAGUGCUGUAUUAAUCUCGUCCAUGUUCGUAGUCACUGCCUCUAUAAAUUUUUUCUUCCUGCUUUAUUUUAGUUACAUAAUGAACAGCAUACGGAUCUUUACGGAUAAGUUAAAGACAUGGACGAUUUUUCGAAACGAAAUAUUUGGCCUUUAAAUCUAACACGUCGCUUUAUAGCAUCUCCAGGAAGCAUUAAAAGUUUUGAGAGACGUUGAUAAUCUUAGAAAGUACGACAUUGUAUUAUUAGAAAAAGAAAUAAGUAAACGUGUGGAAGGCUCACAUUGUAUAUUUCGACAUCACGAAACAGUAUACACCAAAAGAAUAUUAUACUCCGAUUUUCUGACUUAUUAGUUCUAGGAUCUUUCUAAAAUUAUAAUAUCAGUAAACAAAGAAAUAUGACGAACGAUUUCUUCCGCAUACGACAGAAGAGUUUACAAUAAGAUUUUUCAUAGUAUGAAAAUUGUAAUAUGAUUAAUAUCUAAUAACAUUAGAACACUAUUUUUAAAUAAAAGUUGGACUUACGAAAGAAUUAACAUUACGAAUUUUGUAUAUGAAUUUACGAUUAAUUUCAUAGCAAUUAGUGUUGAUAAUUACAAUAAUUAUUAUUAUAAUAAUUAAUUAUAUUAUAAAUAAUUACAAUUUUAUGUGAUUAUUGCAAUUAAAAAAGAGACAAAUUAUUGUAAGAUUCUCAUGAGGAGAUUCCAAGAUACAUAAGAUAAUUUCGCGUGUACAUAGAGUAUAUAUAAAUAUAACUACAUAACUAUAGGAGAGGGGAAAUUUUCUAUCCCCGUGCGUUCUAGCUACAAAAUUAGAAUCUAGGAAACUUGAUAUUUUAGAGAUUAAUUUCGGCAGGGGUUUUUUCCGUGGUUUUCGAACCAGUAAUAAGCAAAUGAGAGCCAUACGCGAAAUAAUCCCUAGCCGUAUAUACUUCAUACAUUCCAAAGAAUACUUUUACAAAUAAUUCAAACGAUGAAAACAAUUUCAUCAUUUAGACUAGUCAUUCGUUUAUUCCAUCAAUAAUCUUUAAAUUUAGCAGUAGGUAUUAGUAUAACAUUUAUUGUAAAAUUUCGUUUCUAUAUUUUAUUUUGAAAUUGAAAUUGAUUUUCUUGAUUUAUAUCAUUUUAAUUAUUAUUUUGUUGCGUUUAGGAAAAGUUGCUGUAACAUUUAAAAGGCAUUACCUGAUUUAUUUUCGGUAAUUAUACAAUUAAAAUGAACGAAUGACUUUGUUAAGUCUUAACCAGUCUAUGAAUUUUAACCUAUUUUAGAGAUACUUUUCCAUAAAACCGACUAAUAUUCUUUUCAUAUAACUUGAUAAUUGGACCAUUCCUUGAUUAACUAACUGAGUGGUUCUUUCGGCGGGGAAAUACGGGAAAGAGAAGAAGGUAAUAUUAGGAAACCAUAAAUGUUCUCCGAGUGCAAAGAAGGAAAGUGAUAUAUGGAGAAAAUGUUUUCCAGGAAUAUGGAAGUAGAUAUAAUUUCCGACGAAAAAAUUUUUGUAUAAAAGAAGAUUUUACGAUAAGAAUUACAUUGUUCAAAAAUUGUAAUAUCAUUAAUAUCUAAUAAUAUUAAAACACUAUUAUUAAGCAUAACUUGAAACAAGAAAAGAAGAAACAUUACAAAUUUUUUAUACGAAUUGACGAAUAAUUUCAUAGCAAUCAAUUCAAUAUAACGUUAAUAAUUACAAUAAUUAUUAUUUUUGGAGUUAUUAUUAAAAUAAUUAUCAAUAAUAAUUAAUUAUAUUAUAAAUAAUUACAGUUUUUCAUGAUUAUUUCCAUUAAAAACGGAACUAAUAAUUGUCAACAAAUAAUUACCGUUAUAUUUGUAAAUCCAAGUUAUACUUAAAAAUAUUGUUAUAUUACUAUUGGAUAUGGACGAUACUACUAUUUUCGUAUUACGUAAUUCCUUUUGUGAAAUCUUCUCUUGUAAAAUAUUUCUUCGUCGGAAGGUAUAUCUUCUUCGGCAUUCCUUGAAAACAUUGUAUCCAAUAUUACCUUUUCCUCUUGUAAACAAAUACCUAUUGCUUAAGUUAACAAAGACCUCCUUUUCUUUAUUACGCAAUAGUAAUAAAAUAUAUGGCUUUAGAUAAAAUCUUUUCACAUAUUUAUUUUUUUUUUUUUUUCGUAAUAUUACUUUCUUUCCUUUUACAUAUUUCUUCUCCGGGAGGACCUCAGAAUUAUUUAAUGAUUAUGGAGGAACCACUGUUUUUAUCGUAAUUUUUUGGAAAAUACAUAUUUCUCUGAAAUUUUCUAUUGGAACAGUAUAAUAAAACUAAUAAAAAAAUCGUCCAAUUACUAAGUUAUAUGAAAAGAAUAUCAGUCGAUUGUACGAAAGAGAAGAGGAUGGGUGCUUUCACGACAAUCUGAGCCCUUCUCUGAUCCGCUUAAGGAGGGUUGUACGAAGAACUUGUAUAUAUAGUGAAAUUAGAUGAAGAAAACAACCGAUCCUAAUUUCGGGGAAAGAGAUUUUCAAAGCUGCAAUCAGUUCGUAUUGAAGCUUCGAAUAGUAUAAAUAGAUCCCUUGACUAAAUUGUCAAAAAAACAGGAAAUUAUUAUAUUAUUGUUAUGUAUCAUUCCGUGAUUUCGUAAAAUGCAAUUAUCUCCAUUUCAUUCAUUUAUCCAUUUUUUUUUUUUUUUUUUUUAUUACGAAGACGACAGUGUCCAAAUAAACACAAGUCUCGUGAUAUAAGAUAUAAGUAGUGAAAAAGAAUUGUAGAAAGGCGUUGAUAAAGCCACUUUAGAAAAAAUAAAUAUUAAUCCGGAAGAAAACGAUAGAAGAGGUAGUUAUAUCAUCUAGUGAGAAAAAGAAUGAGAUAAGAAUGUUGUAAAAAAAAUUGCGUCAGAACUAAUCAUAGAUUUCGUAGAAAAUAAUAAGGGAUAACAUAAAAAAAAAAUUAUCAUCUAAGGUAGUGUCGAUUUAAAAUUAUUGGUAACGUUGUGACGAGAUUACCGUGGAUGACAAUAUCUCGUUAAUAUAUGAAAAAUAGUGGGAAAUAAGUGGUAGAAUAAGCUCGAUAGGAUACUUGAAUUUAUUGUAUCCUUUGAAAGGGAGUAAAAUUUGUUUAUUCAGUCGUCAUUUAAGUAAAUCCUAAAGAGAUCGAGAAAAUAUAGGCUUAGAAUAGUAUAUCAGCAAUUAAUGAAUUACGAUAAUGAAUUCUAUAUCACCUAUAUCGUUUUAAACAACAUAUACUCGAUAAGAUAAAACAUACUUGAAUUUUUUGUUUCUCACAAUUUAUUAUUUUGUUGAUUGCUUUUAUGCAAUCCUUUAUGACCGAAUUGUUAAUAGAGGGUCGUAAAACCAUUUUCGACAGACCUUCGUUACAAUUCUAUGGCAACUUGAAAAAAUUGGGAGAAUGUAGUUGUAAUUGUUCCUCUGCCUGAUGUGUUAAUGAAUGCAAUCUUGAUUGUUCUUUUCACACGGCAGAUGGAUUCUAUACAUAUAUAUACAAAUACAUUCAUAUAUAUAUAUAUAUAUAUAUAUAUAUAUAUAUAUAUAUAUAUAUACAUAUGUAUCUUACUAUAUACUAGAAUCUAAUACAUUUAUAUACAUAUUUAUUCACACAUUUGUCUACACGUUGAUAAAGUAUUUAUAUCUAUCUGAACAUCUCUAAGCAUAUGCAUGAAAAUAAAAUUAAAGAGAAACUAAAACAAUAAGUUGAAAUAAUAAAAGAGAUGUCAUUAAGAUAGAAGCAAAGAGAUAUGUAUCGCGAAGGUGUACCAAAUAAUACCCACCCCAUACUUUCAUAUAUCUGCGCAAGACAGAUAAAUGUAAACACGACUACUGAUAAAUGUUUGCUUUUCCUUUAAUUAAAAAAAAAAAUGUUAUUUAACUUAUUAUUUACGAGAAAAUCAAAAAAUCUCUUCGUAAAUAAUACUAUGGAAAAAUAAUAUAUUAAAUAAGUAAAUGAAAAUAAUACUUUAAAAAAACAUAAAUAAGUGAAAAAAAAUUGAAAUUAAAAGAAAUAAUAUUAAAGAAAAAAGCAACCAAAUAUGUAUUCGGGGAGUAUUGAAGAUAAAAAAAUAUUUAAGAUAUGGAACGAUUUUAUGUAAUAUUAACUAAUAAGAUUUUCACAUGAGUUACGAAUUGAAUUUGAUCUGAUACUCUGCCCUUACUUUUUCCCGAACUAAUUAAUUACACAAAGAAUUUCUGACAAAAUAAGAAUAAACACAAAAUGUAUCAGAAUUGCUUCAAAACUUAUCAUGGAUAUCGUAGAAAAUUAUACACUAGGAUUUUGAUUUCUUUUGCAAGAAAUUUGUUCCUCGAUGUAUAUAAAUUCAUAUAAAUCAAAUACCACUGUGUAAUAUGUUAUAAUAUAUACCACGUUUACGCAACGAAGUGCCGCCUUGUUGCUGCUAAUUAACCUUUCCUUCUGAAUAGAAUCUUCUGAUUCUACUUUCUAUGCAAUACCAAUAUUCUCUUCACGAAAAAUAAAUAAAUUUGAAUAAUGAAAUACCAAAAAAAGAUCACUCCCCCAAAAGGGGAUAAACAAAAUUAGAUGUUUACAAAGUAAAAUAAUCGAAAGGAUAUGGAUCUGGAGAAUGAUCGAUAGGAGGAAUUAAAAGCAAAUGAAUAAUCAAGAAGAAAAUCAUGAAUAUCAAUUAAGAUGAAUAUCAAUAUAGAUUACUGUGGAUGAUAUAAUAUCUCAUUAAUAUCUCAAAAAUAGUAGAAAUAAAUGACAGGAAAACAUUGAUUUGAUAUUUGAGUUUAUUGUAUUCAUUGAAAUGGAUUACAUGAUAUUGAUUCUGAAUCUGGUAGUCUUCCAUGCAAGUUUUUCGAAGACCCAGAAUAGGGAACAUCCAAGAUAAUAUAUAAGCCCCCAAUUAGCCGCGAUAAUGGUAUGUAUAUCAUAUAUAUCAUUUUAAAGAAGAUGAUUUCGAGAAGAUUCAAUUUACUAUUAGACUAUCAAUUUCAACGCAUUAUUCAGGGCUAAUUGUUUUUAUAUAGUCAGUUGAGUAAGAUGUAAUUAUUAAUAGAGGGACAUAGAACUAUCUUCGCUAGUCGUUUUUAAGUUCAUUACAUAUUGUUUUCAAUUAGUUUAGCGAUAAUUUUAUAUAAUAUUUCUUCCUAUAUAUACGUUUUGUAUGUGUGUUUAAACCCACAAACACACAUAUAUGUGUAUAUAUAUAUAUGCAUAUAUAUAUAUAUCUUACUAUAUACUAAAAUUUAAUCAUGUUUACAUACAUACUUAUUCAUAUAAUUGUCUACAUGUUGAUAAAUUAUUUAUUCCGAUGUAUGCAACUCUAAAUAUAUAAGUAAAAUUAAAAUCAAAAAGAAAAGUAAACGAUAAAUUAAAAUCAAAGAAAAAAGUUUAAUUAAAAAAAAAAAGAACAUGAAAGAAAAAA
This is a long non-coding RNA of Vespula vulgaris, 10758 nucleotides long. RefSeq lists it as uncharacterized. The transcript is spliced from 5 exons. The record is from RefSeq and is a predicted model, not a curated record. Lineage: Eukaryota; Metazoa; Arthropoda; Insecta; Hymenoptera; Vespidae.